CCGGGUCGAAUCGCAGACACCCGGUCCGAAAAGACGAUUCCGUCUCAAGCGCUGC
This is a non-coding RNA of Betaproteobacteria bacterium, 55 nucleotides long. The record is from Rfam. NCBI's taxonomy places the organism in Bacteria, Pseudomonadati, Pseudomonadota, Betaproteobacteria.